GGCGUAAAGAGCUCGUAGGCGGUUUGUUGCGUCGGCUGUGAAAACCUGAGGCUCAACCUCAGGCCUGCAGUCGAUACGAGCAGACUAGAGUGUUGCAGGGGAGACUGGAAUUCCUGGUGUAGCGGUGAAAUGCGCAGAUAUCAGGAGGAACACCGGUGGCGAAGGCGGGUCUCUGGGCAACAACUGACGCUGAGGAGCGAAAGCGUGGGGAGCGAACAGGAUUAGAUACCCUGGUAGUCCACGCCGUUAAACGUUGGGCGCUAGGUGUGGGGCUCAUUCCACGAGUUCCGUGCCGCAGCUAACGCAUUAAGCGCCCCGCCUGGGGAGUACGGCCGCAAGGCUAAAACUCAAAGGAAUUGACGGGGGCCCGCACAAGCGGCGGAGCAUGUUGCUUAAUUCGAUGCAACGCGAAGAACCUUACCUAGGCUUGACAUGCACGGAAAUCCUCCAGAGAUGGUGGGUCCGUAAGGGCCGUGCACAGGUGGUGCAUGGUUGUCGUCAGCUCGUGUCGUGAGAUGUUGGGUUAAGUCCCGCAACGAGCGCAACCCUCGUUCUAUGUUGCCAGCACGUGAUGGUGGGGACUCAUAGGAGACUGCCGGGGUCAACUCGGAGGAAGGUGGGGAUGACGUCAAAUCAUCAUGCCCCUUAUGUCUAGGGCUGCAAACAUGCUACAAUGGCCGGUACAAAGGGCUGCGAUACCGCGAGGUGGAGCGAAUCCCAAAAAGCCGGUCUCAGUUCGGAUUGGGGUCUGCAACUCGACCCCAUGAAGUUGGAGUCGCU
Molecule: ribosomal RNA, 780 nt
Filed under: uncultured bacterium
Lineage: Bacteria
Description: bacterial SSU rRNA
Rfam family: Bacterial small subunit ribosomal RNA
Source: RNAcentral